This 587-nucleotide long non-coding RNA is filed under the name Rattus norvegicus (Norway rat). RNAcentral's name for it is "long non-coding RNA NONRATT018641". Lineage: Eukaryota; Metazoa; Chordata; Mammalia; Rodentia; Muridae. The record is from RNAcentral.
CCGCCGGAGUCCUCGCCCUGCCGCGCAGAGCCCGGCUCGCACUGCGCCCGCCGCUGCGCUUCCCACAGCCCGCCCGGGAUUGGCAGCUCGGGACGAAGCCUCCCUAGCCCACACCGGCCAUCGGACGCCCUCAGGGCGAGCGACGCGAGGGUCACCCGGGGCUUCGAGGGGCCGGCACGACACCGGUUGGAGCUGCGAACUGUGCGCGCCCGGCUCUGUGGCCUCAGCUGUCCGGGAGAAGCCAGAGUCGCGGACCGACGCUAAGAGCCGGGAGUCCGGAGCACAGUCUUACCCUCAACGCUGGGCUACUCCGACACGAGAGUGAGCGCCCGAGGCGAGCAGGAAGAGUGAUCGGACCCCAGGCUGCCACAAAAGACACUUGGCCCGAGGGCUCGGAGCGUGAGGUCACCCGGUUUGGCAGCCGGGGACGCGCGGCUGGACUGUCUCGAGAAUGAGCCCCAGGACGCCGGGACGCCGCAGCCGUGCGGGUUCCGCUGGCGAGCGCUGAUGGGGGUGCGCCAGAGUCAGGCUGAGGGAUGCGGAGUGGCGGCCCGCCCGCCACCCAGAUCUUCGCUGCGCCCUUGCCG